This is a long non-coding RNA of Homo sapiens (human), 861 nucleotides long. The record is from Ensembl. NCBI's taxonomy places the organism in Eukaryota, Metazoa, Chordata, Mammalia, Primates, Hominidae.
UGGCUUGACAUUCUCCUGUUGCCAUAUAAUAACACCCCAAUCUGCAGAACAGCUUAAAAAUACAUCAUGACAAAAUGGAUUCCAUGUCACUUUAUACACUGGACCCUAGAAAUAAAAAAAAAAUACAUAGGUAUCUAAGUAUUGUUCAUUAUAUGAACAAGAACAUUUGUGAAUAUGACCUUCUUCAGUGCCAGCCAAAUAGAUAUUUGUGUCCUACAACACAAAACAUCGAAAUGCAUUGGCUUGUGAUACAUUAGUAAGUGUGAUAAAUAGAAGAUUAGAUAUUUCUGGAUCUAUUAAAAUCAAUUCAAGAACCCAAAAUAAAAACACUAUCUUGAAUAUACCAAUCUUGUCUUUUUCUUUUGUCAUGAUUUUGUAAUAAUCAAACUACCUGAGAGACUACUGUGCAAAAGAAAAUAUAAAUUGGUCCUUUGCUGGAAUCGGGGUAGCAUUUAAUAUCCUGUAUGGAAAUUACAUAGAAAAACACUGGCUUAAAAUAAAUAAGAAACUUUCUAACAUUUAGAGCUACCUGACAAUGGAACUAGCAGUCCAGGGAAAUAGUAAGUGCUCUUUCAUUACAACUAUUCCAAGAAAAGACAGAUAUACACUUUCAAACUACAUGAUAUUGAAAAAAGAAAAAAAUAAAUUAUAUGAUAAAGUAUAAUUUCUCCCAAAUUGGUAUUACCAAUACAUAUUCCCAGACAGUCGUAUAUAAAAGUGAUCUGACUCACAUUCUCUUCAACAGUUAGUUACAUCAGAAAUAUUAAAUGUUGCCAUUCUAUUAGAUGUAAAAUUAUAUCACCUGUUUUUAAUUCCUAAUUAUGUGAAUAUCAAUAAGGUGGAGCACUUUACGUUCCUUGG